UGGGGGAUAUUGCACAAUGGGGGGAACCCUGAUGCAGCGACGCCGCGUGGGUGAAGGAGUAUUUCGGUAUGUAAAGCCCUAUCGGCAGGGAAGAAUAAGGUGUCCCUUGGACACCUGGACGGUACCUGACUAAGAAGCCCCGGCUAACUACGUGCCAGCAGCCGCGGUAAUACGUAGGGGGCAAGCGUUAUCCGGAUUCACUGGGUGUAAAGGGAGCGUAGACGGCCAUGCAAGCCUGGAGUGAAAGCCCGGGGCCCAACCCCGGGACUGCUCUGGGAACUGUGCGGCUGGAGUGCGGGAGGGGCAGGCGGAAUUCCUGGUGUAGCGGUGAAAUGCGUAGAUAUCAGGAGGAACACCGGCGGCGAAGGCGGCCUGCUGGACCGCGACUGACGUUGAGGCUCGAAAGCGUGGGGAGCGAACAGG
RNAcentral lists this ribosomal RNA (423 nucleotides) under uncultured bacterium. Its description in RNAcentral is "bacterial SSU rRNA". It matches the Rfam family "Bacterial small subunit ribosomal RNA", at positions 355 to 776 of the family's 1533-position model. The record is from RNAcentral.